This 1340-nucleotide ribosomal RNA is filed under the name Helicostoa sinensis. RNAcentral describes it as "16S ribosomal RNA". The stretch from base 605 to 1340 matches the Rfam family "Archaeal large subunit ribosomal RNA", at positions 1423 to 2882 of the family's 2987-position model. The record is from RNAcentral. Lineage: Eukaryota; Metazoa; Mollusca; Gastropoda; Littorinimorpha; Helicostoidae.
CAAAAACAAAGUUAAAAAUAUAAAAACAAUAACUUAUAGAAACAUCAAUUAAUAAAGUAAUUUUGAAUAAAACUUUAUAUUUAUAAACUUAAUAGUACUGCAGAGAAAACAUUUAAAUUCAAUAAAGCAGCUUUCAAUAGCGUACCUUUUGCAUAAUAGUUUAGCUAGAACAAAGUUUAAAUUAAAAAUCUCGAAGCCUGAUGGGCUAUUAUAUAUUUUAUAUUAGCAAUUAAAAACUAAGUGUAGCAAAACUUUUUUAAAAACAUAUAAUAGAACUUAGAUUCUAUCCGUAUCAGGCGAUAGCUAGUUUUUUCAUAAAGGCAUAGAAGUGCCUAGAUUAAUAUAUUAUUCAAUUACCAUGCUAUUUAGUGUAAUUGAUACUAUAAUCUAAAAUGUUAUUAAGGACAAGCCUAAUAACAAAAACUAUAAGUAUCAAUUUUAUUUUAAAUUUAGGCCUAAAAUUAGCCAUAAUAAAAAACUUGUUACAAACAAUUAAAACAAAAAAUAAAAUAAAUCUACUUUAAAUUAUGAAAAACAUUUCAAAAAUCAAAAAGAAAUACAUUUAUGCUAAAAUGAGUAUUUUUACAAAACAAAAACUUAAAAAUAUUAAAUUAACUACAAAAACAAAUUAAACAAAUUAAUUUUAUAAAAGGAACUCGGCAAUAAACCAUUCUGCCUGUUUAACAAAAACAUCGCUCCUUGAUAAUAAAUGUAUAAGGAGUCAGGCCUGCCCAGUGAUAUAUUUUAACGGCCGCGGUACUCUGACCGUGCAAAGGUAGCAUAAUCAUUUGCCCUAUAAUUAAGGGCUCGUAUGAACGGUUCAACAAGAAUGAAACUGUCUCUUUUAAAAUUACUAAAAUUUGGUCUUUAGGUGAAGAAACCUAAAUAACAUUGAUAGACAAGAAGACCCUAUCGAGCUUUAAAACAAUUAGUUAAAUAAAUAGUAUACACUAGAUCUAACUAAAAAUUUUGGUUGGGGCGACUAGGGAACACACAAAGCUUCCUCAAUACAACCAUUUAUUUAAUGCUUAUUAGCAAUGAUCCAAAGUAUUUGAUUAAUAAAAUUAGUUACCGUAGGGAUAACAGCAUAAUCUUUUUUGAGAGUUCUUAUCGAAAAAAAGGUUUGUGACCUCGAUGUUGGACUAGGAUAUCCUGACAGAUGCAGAAGUCUUCAAAGGUUGGUCUGUUCGACCAAUAAAAUCCUACAUGAUCUGAGUUCAGACCGGCGUAAGCCAGGUUAGUUUCUAUCUUCAAUUAAAAAUUUAAGUCUAGUACGAAAGGACCAACUUAAAAUAAAAAUUAUUUUAUAAGAAAAAAUAUAAUAAUUCCAUUAAAUAUUA